Molecule: ribosomal RNA, 451 nt
Filed under: uncultured bacterium
Lineage: Bacteria
Description: bacterial SSU rRNA
Rfam family: Bacterial small subunit ribosomal RNA
Source: RNAcentral
GAUUGUAAACCCCGUUCAUGUGGGAGCGAAAUUAAAAAGAUAGUACCACAAGAGGAAGAGACGGCUAACUCUGUGCCAGCAGCCGCGGUAAUACAGAGGUCUCAAGCGUUGCUCGGAAUCAUUGGGCGUAAAGCGUGCGUAGGCUGUUUCGUAAGUCGUGUGUGAAAGGCAGGGGCUCAACCCCUGGAUUGCACAUGAUACUGCGAGACUAGAGUAAUGGAGGGGGAACCGGAAUUCUCGGUGUAGCAGUGAAAUGCGUAGAUAUCGAGAGGAACACUCGUGGCGAAGGCGGGUUCCUGGACAUUAACUGACGCUGAGGCACGAAGGCCAGGGGAGCGAAAGGGAUUAGAUACCCCUGUAGUCCUGGCAGUAAACGGUGCACGUUUGGUGUGUCGGGAAUCGACCCCCUGCGUGCCGGAGCUAACGCGUUAAGCGUGCCGCCUGGGGAGUA